UUCGAGCCGCCGCCACACAGCCGUGGCCUCUCGCUGCUUUUCUCUUUCUCCUCGUUGCUGUGCUGCUUGUUCUUUGUGGGGAGGUCUGGGGUGGUGGGUGUGAAGCCCACCCUCUGAAGCCUCCGCUCUUGCUUUCCUUCUUUUUUUGUUUGUCAGAAAUGGGGAGUGUGUGCCCUCUUCUCUCAAGGCCCUGGGACAGCUGUGAGGCAGCUCACUUGGAAGAGGCAAAUGCCAGGGAGGAUACAAAACUCACCAGUCCACAUGAUUUGUCACAGUGUUUGUAGUGAAUCACUUGCUGGUGCUACAGAUUAGUGCUGAACAGAGGUGUUUCCAUUCCAGCAUCAACACUAAACUUCAUGGUUGCCUCAGCCUAUGACUGUUGUGAUGACGGUAAAACUCUUCCCACCCCAUUCCAAACAACAGCGUGUUUGUGUAGAAGGGAAGAAUAUGUUCUUCAGAGUUGUCUGUUACCUUUCUUUCUCUCUACAAAAGGGUUGUAACUUAACUGCAGACUUCCAAAUCUUAUCCCCAGAAUAAAGUCUUUCUGUAAGUAAAAGUGAUGUGUUUAGGAGUGUAUAUUACUUCUUAAUAUUGCUUGUUUUUGUAUUGUUUUUCUAAGACCAAGUGAAAGAGAGAAGGAUACCUGUGUUUGGAUUAGUGGGGAGAGCCAAACAUAUCUGGGAAGAAAAUCAGAUAAUAUUUGAAUAUACUUUUUAAAAAUUUGCUUUUCAAUCCAUCAGGGUUUUUUUUUAAGCUCUGUGCAUUUGCAGUGGUGGUUCUUACAUGAAUAGGCACCUGGAUAUUCUUAGAUUGAUUUGUAAAACAGCCAUCUGUAUGUUCAGCUCCUUAAAAGACUGCUUUCCAGCUGUUAGCAGUGAAAUUAUUUCAUUUAGUUUAAAAGAAAAAAAAGGUAAUCCCUCCAGUUCACACUGUGUGUGUGUGUGUUUCUUUGGAGCUACAGGUAGGGUGACUGUAGCAUGCACAGCAAUUCCUGUGUAUUAUGUAAUUAAGUAAUUCCCCUUUUGCAAAAGGUACCUGGUGUCUCACUGCUGUAACUCAUGGAGUUCCCAGCUGAUAACAGGGAACUGUCUUCCAAUAUCUUCUGUACCCCAAUAUCUUAUACCUGUAUUCAUUAAAGUGCUUACCAAAUGUUA
Non-coding RNA from Cyanistes caeruleus (blue tit), 1154 nucleotides. NCBI's taxonomy places the organism in Eukaryota, Metazoa, Chordata, Aves, Passeriformes, Paridae. The record is from RefSeq and is a predicted model, not a curated record.